CAAUAGCGUAUAUUAAAGUUGUUGCAGUUAAAAAGCUCGUAGUUGAAUUUUUGCUUGCCGCCGAUGUCGGAACUUCCGUACGUUCGGCGGCGUGCAUCCUUGGGUGGAACCUGUGUGGCAUUAGGUUGUCGUGCAGGGGAUGCUCAUCGUUUACUGUGAAAAAAUUAGAGUGUUCAAAGCAGGCUUACGCCGUUGAAUAUAUUAGCAUGGAAUAAUAAGAUAGGACCUUGGUACUAUUUUGUUGGUUUGCGCACCGAGGUAAUGAUUAACAGGGACAGUUGGGGGUAUUCGGAUUCCAUUGUCAGAGGUGAAAUUCUUGGAUUUCUGGAAGACGAACUACUGCGAAAGCAUUUACCAAGGAUGUUUUCAUUAA
RNAcentral lists this ribosomal RNA (373 nucleotides) under uncultured eukaryote. RNAcentral describes it as "partial 18S ribosomal RNA". It matches the Rfam family "Eukaryotic small subunit ribosomal RNA", at positions 592 to 976 of the family's 1831-position model. The record is from RNAcentral.